RNAcentral lists this unclassified non-coding RNA (2051 nucleotides) under Hevea brasiliensis (rubber tree). The record is from RNAcentral. Lineage: Eukaryota; Viridiplantae; Streptophyta; Magnoliopsida; Malpighiales; Euphorbiaceae.
UUUCUUUUCAAGCUUUAGCACCCAACAUGAAGCAACCGAUGGACAUUGCUUGGCCUCAAAAUCAAACCUACAACUGUAUGUUGAAUUUUCUGCAUUUCCAACUUGAGAGCCCUGGUUAAUAUUUUUCUCUCCUCUUAGCCCAUCACAUAGUUCACUAACAUGUUUUUCUCCUAUUUCUAGAGAUACAAAUUUGUCUUCAAAAGACACCAAUGGAAGCAAGCUGAUUUUUAAUGGUUCACUGAACUUUGUUCCAAAUGCAUAGCAGGCUGCCCCACCACCAAUCACAACGAGAUCAUUACCCACAAUAUUGGUUGUACUGCGCACAAGCAAUUCUUUGCCAAUAUAAUCAAGACUCACAUGCUUCCAUUUAUGAAUUCGAAGAUCUAGUAAUGCCAACUCUUUGGAAUGUUGUCUGAUAGGACAACCCCCAAUAACUCCAAGAAAAUUAUUGUAAGCAAACAAUGAAUGGGAGAAUCUUGGAUGAGGGCUUCCUCCAGAUGUCUUUUCUUUCUUCCAAAUAUGUGUUUGAACAUCAAAACUAUAUAAAUCUCCCAAAGCCUUUUCUCCAUUGUACCCUCCAAACAUGAAUAAUGUAGACCCAUAUGCCACCAUUGAGAGAGAAUGACGGGCACAUGGCUGUUCCCCACCAACUAAAACCUCUUCCCACUGCAAAUUUCCAGUGUUGAGGACAUGCAUGGAUGAAAAUAUUGUAUCAUUGUUAAGUCCACCAAAUACAUAUAUGUUUGUGCCAACAACUGCUGCAGCAUGCCGGUGCCUAGGAGGGAAAACACUGCCAGUACAUUCAGAUAACCUCCAUUCAUUACUAGCAGUAUUAAGAAUCCAUACAUCAUCCAAAAUGUUCAAGGGAUCAGACCUGCCUCCAAUGACAAAUAAAAAGUCACCAACCAAAGAAGCCGUGUGACUCAAUCGCGGAGAUGGUGCCCCCACAGCAUCAAUUGCCUUUAAUGUUCCAUUUAAUGGAUCAAGCAGCAAAGUAUCAUUUCUUCGUGCAUGUCUUCCCAUGCCUCCAAAACCACCAAAUACAAGAAUACCCUUGCUAUUUUUGUGAUCCAGUGUACAAGCAGAAUGACCCCAAAGGAAUAGUUUCUCCAAAGGUUCACCAACAAUUACUAUUUUAACAAUAGAUAAACCGCAAUCAGAAACUCCUCCUGUCCUGCCAAUGAUUCAAAGACUAAAACUUGUGUCACAUCAAAAGGAAAGGUUUCCAAUAUGGGUAUCCUCAUUUGCACUCUCCAAGUUAUCACUAUCAGCAGCCCCAUCAUGUAUAUCAUUAAAAGUAUGAACACCAUUCUCGGAAACCGAGGAACCCACGAACCCAUUUGCCCUCAAAGCUCUCAGAAAACCAUGGGUUCUCUUUCCGUUAGCUUCCAUUUUCUCAUUAGCUACCUCCACAAGAAACCUCACAUAUUCGGGCGAUACCAGAAGCUUAUCAGUGUCACCCAGCGGCACCUCCAUUCUUAUCGAACAUCGAAUACCAACAAUCACUCUCUUAUUAUUAGCACUAGUAAUCCCAGAUUCCCUGAACCCGGAAGAUAUCGCCAAGGAAACUAAAAACUGGGCAGCUUCAACAUCUCUACACUCAACAGCAACAAUCAAGGGCUCAAACCGGAAAACCAGCUCGGAUGAUUGAGUAGGUAACUUGGACGGAAAAAGAAGGGAGAGGACGGAAUCGGGAUUUGCCGGGUCGUGGGAAAUAAAGAGCCAGGAGCCACCGCGUGCCUUCUUCUUACUGGGAGGGGUUGGUGUAAGCUGGGUGGGUUUGGGUUGGCCGAGGAUGGAGAUGCGGCCGGAGCAAGAACUGGUGGUGAAAUAAGAAGGGUGGGAAUUGAGAGAGUUAAGGAGUGGGAUUAUGGGUGCGUCUAAGGUCCCUUUGGGCGAUUUGUCAGCUUCCGAUGAUCCCAGUGAUGAAAGCAUCGCCGCUUUUCUCUUCUGGAACUCCAUGCCUCUCUCUCCCUCUCUGUGCUGCUGUGUACAGAGUAAAAACCCUGAGCAAGGCAAAGAGAGACCAGAGGGGUUUUGCACCCCGAAAG